Octopus bimaculoides (California two-spot octopus) is the source of this 916-nucleotide long non-coding RNA. Lineage: Eukaryota; Metazoa; Mollusca; Cephalopoda; Octopoda; Octopodidae. The record is from RefSeq and is a predicted model, not a curated record.
CAUCCUCAUCAUGUUUAUAUUUCAUUUCAUAUCUUCAGCGAUUCAGCUAAUACCAACGUUGGAAUCAUAUAAGCUGUGUCUUAUUUAUUAACUCUAGCACAUUAUUGAUGAGAUAGUCUCUUGUCUGUACUACACGUAAAAAGAACAAAUGAUGGACAAAAAUCACUAUACACGCAUUAGACAUUCUUUAUUCAUGAAGUAUAAUCUUAAAAGCUAAAUAGCAUAAUUUCCCGCUAAGCGUUCUGAUUUCAGAUUUUUCUCUUGGCAAACAUAUACAAAACGGUACAAGCAGCUGUGCGCCUGCCUUAUCAGAUAUAACACUCACAUGCCAGCUUGUACAUGUAUGUAAAUGUACGCUAUACAUUGGAAUCUUAAAAACCGAAUCGUUUGAUAUCCUGGAAUGGAUUUUGUGCAGAAUUUGCUCUUAAUGUAUGUAUACACCACAACAUAUUUUUAGAGGAAGAAAAAAAAGAAAAAGAAAACUUUAAAAGUAGAAAGGAUCAAAUAAUCGAGAAAAACAUCCAUAAUUACCUCACUAAGGAAACAAAAAAAAGAACAAAGGUGGGAUUAGGCAACAGGAGAUAGAUGGGGUAACGAACAUAAUUGCAAAGGCGUAGCCGCGGAGAAUGGCCAGUAACACUCGAUGCAAGAGCCAUCUCACCUCGCGGACAUAAUUUCAAAGGCGUGGCCGCGGAGAAUGGCCAGUAACGCUCGAUGCAAGAGCCAUCCCACCUCGCGGUCUUCAUUUCUCAGAUGGACCUCAGUUAUCCCGAUUUUAAGGAGAAAAGAUGGAGAAGAAAAGAUGUUAAAUUUUUUUUUUUAAUUUAAUACCUGCAUACGAUCGUUUCGAAUAUAAUAUUAACAUGUAAAUAACAUGGUAGAAUAAUUAGACAUUAAUUAAAUUAAAUUAAAUUAA